RNAcentral lists this ribosomal RNA (254 nucleotides) under uncultured bacterium. RNAcentral's name for it is "partial 16S ribosomal RNA". It matches the Rfam family "Bacterial small subunit ribosomal RNA", at positions 524 to 776 of the family's 1533-position model. The record is from RNAcentral.
CACGUAGGGGGCGAGCGUUGUCCGGAAUUAUUGGGCGUAAAGAGCUCGUAGGCGGUGUGUCGUGUCGGCCGUGAAAACCUGCAGCUUAACUGUGGGCUUGCGGUCGAUACGGGCAUCACUGGAGUUCGGCAGGGGAGACUGGAAUUCCUGGUGUAGCGGUGAAAUGCGCAGAUAUCAGGAGGAACACCGGUGGCGAAGGCGGGUCUCUGGGCCGAUACUGACGCUGAGGAGCGAAAGCGUGGGGAGCGAACAGG